AGCAUGGACACAUUCACAAGCUAAUGAUCUCAUGAGGAUAAAGACAGAGGUAACAUCUUCCAAAAGUGGCGAUGCCCAAAGGAUCCCAGUCACUGCUUCCUGGGGAAGUGAAGAUAACAAUCCUCUCUGGCCCUCCUUUGAGAAACAGUUCUUUUGCCCCCUUGGAUUUGUUCCUUUAGAAAAUCCUGGGGCAGGUGACCUAUAGCCUUAAAGAACAGGCUUAUCACAGCAGAGCCAUCUGCCGCUUUCUGGUUCUCAUCUUGCAAGAGUUACAUAAAAUAAAAUCCCCUAAGCUGGAAUCCAACAACAGGUACGUUGAUGCACUUCUUUUCUCAAAAGUUGAAGCCCUGGCUUUGUCCGCAUUUCCAUAGCAGGGGAAACUGAGUGUUGUGCUGGAGGUUAGUAACGUGUACCUCAUGGGCAAAGACAUGCUGCUAGUUUGGGGGUUGUAGAAGAUAAACUGAUAUUUUGGUGGAAAUUGAAAGCAGAAAUUUGAGUUCUGCUUUACAGUUAAAAUUAACUGGAUUGGGGGAGGGGCAGCAUGUGAAAACAUGUGAACACUGGGAAUUGAGGCAAUUUAAAUGACUUUAAGUCAGUAAUUGUUCUAAGUCAGUAGUAUUUCCAAACAAAUUGGAGGUUUUUUGGUUUUGUUUUGUUUUGUUUUUUAAUUUGUAAUAAGUUUCCCUGAUACUUUUAUUAACGAUCCAGAAACACAUCACUAAACCCUAAACAUGCCAUGUAUUUAAGAGUACGAAUGGAAUUCAUAUAUUUUUGUCAGUAGGCUAUUUGGAAGAGUUUGGAUUUUGUUUCCCUUAUUUUGCUUUCUGAGAUGGUCUCUUGUUCUAUAUGUAGCUCAGGCUGGCCCCCCCACUCUAGAUCUUCCUGCUUUAGCCCCCAGAAUGCAGGCGUCUCGGAUAAUAUGGCACAGCUCCAGACCAGGAGCUCAGAUUCUUCUUCUUUCUACACAAUAAUGGGUCUCAUUGUGACAUUUUUUUUAAAUGACAUAUUUCAUCUAGCCCUUUCUCUAAAAGGUCCCUCAUUUCAAAUUUGAGUUUGAGCAUUAUAUCCCAGGCUGGUUUAAAGCAGGUCUCACUCUCCUGCUGGCCAAUUUGUGUAUCAUUUGGGAACUCCUUGGAAGCUGCCUGACUGGCUUUGAACACUGGACUCUUCCACACUGUUCAGGUCUAUCCUGAGUACCUAAGAUGUCAUCAUCAUAAAUGAAAUAGAGAAGUGUCUUUGACUUUGCUGUCAAGACUUUUUGUUGCUGCUUGAACAAAAGAAGCGCCUAUUCAAACUGCAGUUUUAGAGUUCAGGUGACAUCCGGCCUGUGAAGCCUGCAAGUAUCUCAGACCUAGCAUCCAGCUGUUUCCUGUGACUCUCACCUCCAUUCCCCAGACCACUGAGCCGAGCCUGUGUGUGCAGCACAGCAUAGCUACUUGAGUAGUUCGUGCCAACUGCUUCUGGCUAAUGUUUGGUUUAGCUAUUUUAACAAAACAAAAAAACUGAGUGUCUGCUGCUGUGUCAUUUACUACCAGUUUUUUGUUUUUUUGUUUUUUGUUUUUUUUUUUUUUUUUUUUUAUUUCGAGAGGUGUAAUUUAAAAGGGUUUACACUGCCCAAAUUAAAGAAAAAAAAUAAUUUAUAAAAGAUGACUGCUAAAAUUAGGAAUUCAUAAUUAACAGUAAGUUUGAGGACUUAUUUUUACAAGUUGGGUCUUGCUUUGUGAUCCUAAAACAAGCCUUGACAUGCUAAUGUUUUGUUUUGAGACCAGAGGUCUUGAGGCUCUGGGCUAGCCUUGAACUUGCCAUAUAGCUAAGGAAGACCAGAAUUCCUGAUCCUCCUGUCUGACUGAGAUUACACUUAGCACCAUGAAGCCUGGCUUGAUGUGGACUGUAGGAAAAUUACCCCAUUCAAUACAGGAUGUGACUAUCCCUUAUGUCAUCCUUACCUUUGAGAUAGUUCUGGAAUUGCAGGCCUUUCUGCCGGAAGUGGCUUUCUGUUAUGAUUGUUUAUGAGGUUUCUUUGUCGCCAUAACUCACACUUUGACAAGUAAUUUUUGGGUUUUUUGUUUGUUUUUUGAAAAAGGGUCUCACUGUGUAUCCUUGACUGGCUCGGAGCUCAGUAUGUACACCAUGAUACCCUGGAACGCAGAGAUUUACCUGUCUCUGCCUCCCAAAUACUGGAAUUAAAGGCGUGCACCACCACACCUGACUAGUAAUUUUGCUGUAAAUAUUAACGGGGUUUGAGCUUCACAUUCCAAGGAAGGGAGGGAGGGGUCCUGGUGUCCAUGUUUAGUGAUUAAAGGUUUCUGGGUCUCCCCCCACCUUAGGACUCUUCCCUGGUCAUAUAUUAAUGAUUUUUGAGACUUCUUCGUCUUUAUAAAUUUAGCGGGCUGCAUUUUGCAUGUGAAAGUUUAAAGAAACUUGCCCCGUCUUUUUCCGAUUUCAGGUUGUGGUGCUUUCGAUAAGCUUCUCGGAGUUUGCCAGCAGCUUUAGAAAGCAUCAUCACCUGAAACUGCAAAGAUUUUGUUUACCUACGGGGAGCACGCAGAGCCCAGAUGACGCUGUCUUUGCAGUCAAACUUUUACAGGUGGACCCUGUCAGUCUGCCCAGUUCAUUUUUUGUGUCAGGACCGUAGCUGAGUCAAAACAUCUUUUAGGGUAAAAUGCCCUGUGUUACAAAUUGGACUGAGCUGCGACACAGGCUUCCUGCCAGGAUUGCAGACUUGGGUAAUCCAGAGAAAUGUGUAUUGUUGGUAGUUUCUGGUGGUUUAGUUUAUGCUUAAGUUAAAAAGCAGCAUUGCUAAGGUGUUGUGUCUUGAUUUUGAGCUGCUCCAGGGUAAACCUCCUGUUAGCAGUGAGGUUUGAUAACAUGUUUUUAAAACCAUUUGUGGAAUAUUAACACUAGUGUUCUGAUUGCAGCUUUAAAUCAGUCGGAUUUAUGAAUAACUUCAUUGCUUAGGUUGUCAAACAGGAAUU
This 2975-nucleotide long non-coding RNA is filed under the name Mus musculus (house mouse). RNAcentral's name for it is "long non-coding RNA chr10:96619809-96622784". The record is from RNAcentral. Lineage: Eukaryota; Metazoa; Chordata; Mammalia; Rodentia; Muridae.